GAUGGUUUAUUGGCUUAAAUGUCAAAACACAAACUAGAAAACUACCAGGGAACAGAAAAGGGGGCAAAUUUUAUGAUUUUGCACUGAAUAAGACUUUCUUAAAUAAGAAAGAAUUAAUACAAAUCAUAAACAGAAAGAGUGAUCAAUUUGACAAUAACAAAUAUCAAAAUAAAAAAUCUGUUGCUUGUUCUCAUAUCUGUGUAAUAGAGGAAAGGGGAAUAUUCACUGGAAAAUGAUAUCAUCACCUGGAACAUCAACAGUUUGUUUAUGAAUAAUGAUCCGCAUGCAAUUAGAAAAUCCACACUCACACACACACAAUCGUAUACACUGAAAAUAGAAGCGAGGCAUGGAAAUAUGACUAGAGAAAAAAAUGAAUAGGCAAUUAGAACAUAUCCAAAGACAAUCAAGUUAGAAUAGGCAAAGAUGUUAAAAGAUCUCUAAUUAAUAUGCUAAAGAAAAUAGAGGGGGAAACUAACAAAAGAGAGGAAGAGAUGGAGAAUUUUGAUAGUAUUAAAUUGUAAAAUACACAUAAAAUUCUAGAAUUCAAAGUGACAGUACAUGAAAUGAAUAACUAAAAGGAAGGAUUAUCAGAAAAUUGAACACAGACUAACAUAAGUUUUUCAACUGAAAAUAUCUAGGGAGUAGCACAGAGUAUAAAAUAAUCAAAAAUUACAAAACAGUCUUGACAUAUUAUACAUGCUCAAAUUGACUAACAUAUAUAUAGAAAGAAACCUAGAAUGAGAAGGGAGGGGAGGGGAGAAAACAAAACCAAUAUAUGAAGAGACAAUGGGUGACAAUUAUCUGCAACUAAUGGAAAGUAUUAAUCUACACAUUUAAGAAGCUCAGUAAAGUCCGAAAGUUAAAUACAAGAAAAACCAAAUCAGAGAACAUUAUAGUAAAGCUGCAGACAACCAGGGACAAAAAGGAAAAAUCUUCAAAACAGCCAGGUGUUUACAUGUGGGGCAGGGAACACAGGCCUUUGAAGGGAAAACAAUGACAAUGACAGCUAACUUUUAAAAGAUGAAAUUCAGGGCAUUACGGAAUGGCAUUUGCAAUGAAAAUUAUAGAUUAGUUUCAUUCAUGAAUUUAGGUGCAACGAUCCUAAAAUAAAUAUUAGCAAGUAUUUAUGUCAAUAUACCUAAAAAUAUUAUAUCACAAAGACUAAUACCUUGAAAAACAAGAGUGUUAAAGAUAAAUAGUUGAGUAAUUAAAUUUAAAGUGUUUUACGUUGUUUGGAUAUUUAAGUUUCAGAAUAGAGAUAAGGAAUAAAAAUACUAAUUCAAAUUUGCAUAAUAAAAAUUUAUGGUAAAUAUAAAUUAAUCAAAAUAAAGUAAAAUAUUUACAAAUGGGCACAUAGGAAAAAAUUGAAAACUCAUAUAGAAACGCAAGAUAUAAGAGAAUAUGUUUAGAAAGCAUAAAACAAGAUGGUGAAACUUUCAAAUACAUCAGUAAUUUUGAUAAAUGUAAAUAAUAUAUAGCAGUAAAACUCUACGUGAUGUAGUUAUCACAAGUACUAAUAUUGAUGAACCUCAAAAUCAUAAAGUUGAGUGAAAAGGUAGUAUCAGAAAGACACAUACAGAGGCUGGCUGGUGGCGCAGCAGUUAAGUGUGCAUGUUCUGCUUCAGUGGCCCAGGGUUUGCAGUUUCAGAUCCCAGGUGCGGGGGACAUGGCACCGCUUGGCAAGCCAUGCUGUGGUAGGCGUCCCACAUAGAAAGCAGAGGAAGAUGAGCAUGGAUGUUAGCUCAGGGCCAGUCUUCCUCAGCAAAAAGAGGACGAUUGGCAGCAGUUAGCUCAAGGCUAACU
Molecule: long non-coding RNA, 1803 nt
Filed under: Equus caballus (horse)
Lineage: Eukaryota; Metazoa; Chordata; Mammalia; Perissodactyla; Equidae
Description: lncRNA (ENSECAG00000043831.1)
Source: RNAcentral